UACAGAGGGUGCAAGCGUUGUUCGGAAUUAUUGGGCGUAAAGGGUGCGUAGGCGGUUUGACAAGUCUUAUGUGAAAUCUAUGGGCUCAACCCAUAGUCUGCAUGGGAAACUGUCGGGCUUGAGUAUGGGAGAGGUGAGUGGAAUUUCCGGUGUAGCGGUGAAAUGCGCAGAUAUCAGGAGGAACACCGGUGGCGAAGGCGGGUCUCUGGGCAACAACUGACGCUGAGGAGCGAAAGCGUGGGGAGCGAACAGG
This 253-nucleotide ribosomal RNA is filed under the name uncultured bacterium. Its description in RNAcentral is "partial 16S ribosomal RNA". It matches the Rfam family "Bacterial small subunit ribosomal RNA", at positions 524 to 776 of the family's 1533-position model. The record is from RNAcentral.